This 448-nucleotide ribosomal RNA is filed under the name uncultured organism. RNAcentral describes it as "partial 16S ribosomal RNA". It matches the Rfam family "Bacterial small subunit ribosomal RNA", at positions 332 to 797 of the family's 1533-position model. The record is from RNAcentral.
UACACUCCUGCGGGAGGCAGCAGUGGGGAAUAUUGGACAAUGGGCGCAAGCCUGAUCCAGCCAUGCCGCGUGAGUGAUGAAGGCCCUAGGGUUGUAAAGCUCUUUCACCGGAGAAGAUAAUGACGGUAUCCGGAGAAGAAGCCCCGGCUAACUUCGUGCCAGCAGCCGCGGUAAUACGAAGGGGGCUAGCGUUGUUCGGAAUUACUGGGCGUAAAGCGCACGUAGGCGGAUCGAUCAGUCAGGGGUGAAAUCCCAGGGCUCAACCCUGGAACUGCCUUUGAUACUGUCGAUCUGGAGUAUGGAAGAGGUGAGUGGAAUUCCGAGUGUAGAGGUGAAAUUCGUAGAUAUUCGGAGGAACACCAGUGGCGAAGGCGGCUCACUGGUCCAUUACUGACGCUGAGGUGCGAAAGCGUGGGGAGCAAACAGGAUUAGAAACCCCAGUAGUCCC